RNAcentral lists this small RNA (88 nucleotides) under unclassified sequences. RNAcentral's name for it is "GA-cis RNA". It matches the Rfam family "GA-cis RNA". The record is from Rfam by way of RNAcentral.
CCGAGUGAGGUGCCCAUGCGCCGUAGGCGCAUAUUAAAAUGGCACCGACGAACUGCCGCCGAACGGAAGUGAGGGGACGAUACCAUAA